RNAcentral lists this ribosomal RNA (480 nucleotides) under uncultured organism. Its description in RNAcentral is "partial 16S ribosomal RNA". It matches the Rfam family "Bacterial small subunit ribosomal RNA", at positions 329 to 800 of the family's 1533-position model. The record is from RNAcentral.
ACGUACACUCCUACGGGAGGCAGCAGUGGGGAAUUUUGGACAAUGGGCGAAAGCCUGAUCCAGCCAUGCCGCGUGCAGGAUGAAGGCCUUCGGGUUGUAAACUGCUUUUGUACGGAACGAAACGGCCUUUUCUAAUAAAGAGGGCUAAUGACGGUACCGUAAGAAUAAGCACCGGCUAACUACGUGCCAGCAGCCGCGGUAAUACGUAGGGUGCAAGCGUUAAUCGGAAUUACUGGGCGUAAAGCGUGCGCAGGCGGUUAUGUAAGACAGUUGUGAAAUCCCCGGGCUCAACCUGGGAACUGCAUCUGUGACUGCAUAGCUAGAGUACGGUAGAGGGGGAUGGAAUUCCGCGUGUAGCAGUGAAAUGCGUAGAUAUGCGGAGGAACACCGAUGGCGAAGGCAAUCCCCUGGACCGGUACUGACGCUCAUGCACGAAAGCGUGGGGAGCAAACAGGAUUAGAUACCCCAGUAGUCCCAUGA